UGGAGGAAAGUAGGGGAUCGUAAGACCUUGCGCUUUUGGAGCGGCCGAUGCCUGAUUAGCUAGUUGGUGGGGUAAAAGCCUACCAAGGCAACGAUCAGUAGUUGGUCUGAGAGGACGGCCAGCCACACUGGGACUGAGACACGGCCCAGACUCCUACGGGAGGCAGCAGUGGGGAAUUUUGGACAAUGGGCGCAAGCCUGAUCCAGCAAUGCCGCGUGAGUGAAGAAGGCCUUCGGGUUGUAAAGCUCUUUCAGUCGAGAAGAAAAGAUUGUGACGAAUAAUCACAAUUCAUGACGGUAUCGACAGAAGAAGCACCGGCUAACUACGUGCCAGCAGCCGCGGUAAUACGUAGGGUGCAAGCGUUAAUCGGAAUUACUGGGCGUAAAGGGUGCGCAGGCGGCUUUGUAAGUCAGAUGUGA
This 419-nucleotide ribosomal RNA is filed under the name uncultured ammonia-oxidizing beta proteobacterium. Its description in RNAcentral is "bacterial SSU rRNA". It matches the Rfam family "Bacterial small subunit ribosomal RNA", at positions 197 to 597 of the family's 1533-position model. The record is from RNAcentral. Lineage: Bacteria; Pseudomonadati; Pseudomonadota; Betaproteobacteria.